Small nucleolar RNA from Nematolebias whitei (Rio pearlfish), 110 nucleotides. RefSeq annotates it as small nucleolar RNA SNORD46. The record is from RefSeq and is a predicted model, not a curated record. The transcript has a single exon. Lineage: Eukaryota; Metazoa; Chordata; Actinopteri; Cyprinodontiformes; Rivulidae.
AGUGUGGGUGAUGAAAGCUUGGCCUUAGGUGGGACCUGUUUUUGUGCCGUUUUGGUUCAAAGCUUUAGGCUCAUCAAUGCUGGGACAUGUCAUAGUUACACUGACACACU